GAUGAAGAACGUAGCGAAAUGCGAUAAGUAAUGUGAAUUGCAGAAUUCAGUGAAUCAUCGAAUCUUUGAACGCACAUUGCGCCCCUUGGUAUUCCGAGGGGCAUGCCUGUUCGAGCGUCAUAUUAACCACUCCCGCUUGCGGGGUCUUGGGCUUCGCCUCCGGGCGGGCCUUAAAAUCAGUGGCGGUGCCGUCGGGCUCUACGCGUAGUAAAUUUUCUCGCGAUAGGGUCCCGGUGGAUGCUUGCCAACAACCCCCAACUUCUUAAGGUUGACCUCGGAUCAGGUAGGGAUACCCGCUGAACUUAAGCAUAUCAAUAAGCGGAGGA
Molecule: unclassified non-coding RNA, 326 nt
Filed under: soil metagenome
Description: partial contains 5.8S ribosomal RNA, internal transcribed spacer 2, and large subunit ribosomal RNA
Rfam family: 5.8S ribosomal RNA (bases 1-120)
Source: RNAcentral